Molecule: ribosomal RNA, 253 nt
Filed under: uncultured bacterium
Lineage: Bacteria
Description: partial 16S ribosomal RNA
Rfam family: Archaeal small subunit ribosomal RNA
Source: RNAcentral
UACCAUCACCCCGAGUGGUCGGGACGUUUAUUGGGCCUAAAGCAUCCGUAGCCGGUUCUACAAGUCUUCCGUUAAAUCCAACUGCUUAACAGGUGGGCUGCGGAAGAUACUAUAGAGCUAGGAGGCGGGAGAGGCAAGCGGUACUCGAUGGGUAGGGGUAAAAUCCGUUGAUCCAUUGAAGACCACCAGUGGCGAAGGCGGCUUGCCAGAACGCGCUCGACGGUGAGGGAUGAAAGCUGGGGGAGCAAACCGG